GACGAACGCUGGCGGCGUGCUUAACACAUGCAAGUCGAACGGAAAGGCCCUGCUUUUGUGGGGUGCUCGAGUGGCGAACGGGUGAGUAACACGUGAGUAACCUGCCCUUGACUUUGGGAUAACUUCAGGAAACUGGGGCUAAUACCGGAUAGGAGCUCCUGCUGCAUGGUGGGGGUUGGAAAGUUUCGGCGGUUGGGGAUGGACUCGCGGCUUAUCAGCUUGUUGGUGGGGUAGUGGCUUACCAAGGCUUUGACGGGUAGCCGGCCUGAGAGGGUGACCGGCCACAUGGGGACUGAGAUACGGACCAGACUCCUACGGGAGGCAGCAGUGGGGAAUAUGGCGCAAUGGGCGGAAGCCUGAUGCAGCGACGCCGCGUGCGGGAUGACGGCCUUCGGGGUGUAAACCGCUUUCGCCUGUGACAAAGCGUGAGUGACGGUAAUGGGUAAGGAAGCACCGGCUAACUACGUG
Molecule: ribosomal RNA, 468 nt
Filed under: uncultured bacterium
Lineage: Bacteria
Description: partial 16S ribosomal RNA
Rfam family: Bacterial small subunit ribosomal RNA
Source: RNAcentral